Neodiprion fabricii is the source of this 358-nucleotide long non-coding RNA. RefSeq lists it as uncharacterized. NCBI's taxonomy places the organism in Eukaryota, Metazoa, Arthropoda, Insecta, Hymenoptera, Diprionidae. The transcript is spliced from 3 exons. The record is from RefSeq and is a predicted model, not a curated record.
GCGUUGGAAGACUCUGUGGUCGAUGCGUCGGCACUAGCUGUAGAGGUCACUGAUGUGACCGUCGUAGCGUUGGAAGACUCUGUGGUCGAUGCAUCAGCACUAGCUGUGGAGGUCUCUGAUGUGACCGUCGUAGCGUUGGAAGAUUCAGUAGUGGACGCCUCUGCACUUGUCGUGGACGUCUCCGACGAGACCGUUGUAGCGUUGGAAGACUCUGUGAUUCAGUAGUGGACGCCUCUGCACUUGUCGUUGACGUCUCCGACGAGACCGUUGUAGCGUUGGAAGACUCUGUGGUCGAUGCAUCGGCACUUGUUGUGGAGGUCUCUGAUGUGACUGUCGUAGCGUUGGAAGACUCUGUGGU